AUUGAACGCUGGCGGCAGGCCUAACACAUGCAAGUCGAACGGUAGCACAGAGAGCUUGCUCUCGGGUGACGAGUGGCGGACGGGUGAGUAACGUCUGGGAAACUGCCCGAUGGAGGGGGAUAACUACUGGAAACGGUAGCUAAUACCGCAUAACGUCACAAGACCAAAGUGGGGGACCUUCGGGCCUCACACCAUCGGAUGUGCCCAGAUGGGAUUAGCUAGUAGGUGGGGUAAUGGCUCACCUAGGCGACGAUCCCUAGCUGGUCUGAGAGGAUGACCAGCCACACUGGAACUGAGACACGGUCCAGACUCCUACGGGAGGCAGCAGUGGGGAAUAUUGCACAAUGGGCGCAAGCCUGAUGCAGCCAUGCCGCGUGUAUGAAGAAGGCCUUCGGGUUGUAAAGUACUUUCAGCGGGGAGGAAGGCGGUGAAGUUAAUAGCUUCGCCGAUUGACGUUACCCGCAGAAGAAGCACCGGCUAACUCCGUGCCAGCAGCCGCCGUAA
This 504-nucleotide ribosomal RNA is filed under the name uncultured bacterium. RNAcentral describes it as "partial 16S ribosomal RNA". It matches the Rfam family "Bacterial small subunit ribosomal RNA", at positions 30 to 523 of the family's 1533-position model. The record is from RNAcentral.